Zalophus californianus (California sea lion) is the source of this 597-nucleotide long non-coding RNA. RefSeq lists it as uncharacterized. NCBI's taxonomy places the organism in Eukaryota, Metazoa, Chordata, Mammalia, Carnivora, Otariidae. The record is from RefSeq and is a predicted model, not a curated record. The transcript is spliced from 3 exons.
AAACAUGUGGUUAAGCUCUGUGUUUAAUACUCAAUUAGAGCAUCCUUUAUGAUCACUGAUAACGUGAGAGCAGCCAACUUCCGAUCCCAUAUUAGAAAUCAGUGAAAAAAAAAUCAGUGUAAAGAUAGAGGAUCUCGAACUUAGAACUGUGUAUUAAUGAAAACUAUUGAUUUUUUUCUUAGCAUUAAAAGAAACAAUGCUCUGGAAUGAAUCUGACACCAAUCAUGUAACUGUAGGGGAAGCAUGCGUUUUCACAUUUGCCUGGUGCCCUGGAUGUGACAUCCCAGCUUAAGCACUACUACAUUCCUGCCCAUCUGAAGAAGCUUGCUUCUGUAACGGGAACUUGAUUCAUAGGACCCUUCCGGAACACCUAGUCUAACCAGUACAUUCGUUAUGUGAGAGGGCUGGAGAGCCAGAUUUACGGCCCCCCAUAAUUAUGUGGAUGGAGCAGCUCCCAAUUACGCUAACGUGGCUGAAUGUGGCUGGAGAAGAGUAACAACUGUGUUGACUGGCUUCACUUUACAUUCCUGACCCUUAAUCUCAAGUGGGCACUUCACACUGCCCGGCACUCAUACUGGGACUCUAACUCAGUCAUCC